GGGAGUAUAGCUCAGUGGUGAAGCGUGUGCUUGGCAUGCACGAGAUGCUGGGUUCAAUCCCCAGUGCCUCUA
RNAcentral lists this transfer RNA (72 nucleotides) under Camelus dromedarius (Arabian camel). It matches the Rfam family "tRNA". Rfam says of the family: Transfer RNA (tRNA) molecules are approximately 80 nucleotides in length. Their secondary structure includes four short double-helical elements and three loops (D, anti-codon, and T loops). Lineage: Eukaryota; Metazoa; Chordata; Mammalia; Artiodactyla; Camelidae. The record is from Rfam by way of RNAcentral. RNAcentral also lists the same sequence under 1 other name.